This 494-nucleotide ribosomal RNA is filed under the name uncultured Actinomycetes bacterium. RNAcentral's name for it is "bacterial SSU rRNA". It matches the Rfam family "Bacterial small subunit ribosomal RNA", at positions 8 to 522 of the family's 1533-position model. The record is from RNAcentral. Lineage: Bacteria; Bacillati; Actinomycetota; Actinomycetes.
AGAGUUUGAUCCUGGCUCAGGACGAACGCUGGCGGCGUGCUUAACACAUGCAAGUCGAGCGGAAAGGCCCUUCGGGGUACUCGAGCGGCGAACGGGUGAGUAACACGUGAGUAACCUGCCCCCGACUCUGGGAUAAGCCCGGGAAACUGGGUCUAAUACCGGAUAUGACCACUUCCCGCAUGGGAUGGUGGUGGAAAGUUGUUUCGGUUGGGGAUGGACUCGCGGCCUAUCAGCUUGUUGGUGGGGUAACGGCCUACCAAGGCGACGACGGGUAGCCGGCCUGAGAGGGCGACCGGCCACACUGGGACUGAGACACGGCCCAGACUCCUACGGGAGGCAGCAGUGGGGAAUAUUGCGCAAUGGGCGAAAGCCUGACGCAGCGACGCCGCGUGGGGGAUGACGGCCUUCGGGUUGUAAACCUCUUUCAGCAGGGACGAAGUUGACGUGUACCUGCAGAAGAAGCGCCGGCUAACUACGUGCCAGCAGCCGCGGUA